AUUGAACGCUGGCGGCAGGCUUAACACAUGCAAGUCGAGCGGGGUGAUGGUGCUUGCACUAUCACUUAGCGGCGGACGGGUGAGUAAUGCUUAGGAAUCUGCCUAUUAGUGGGGGACAACAUCUCGAAAGGGAUGCUAAUACCGCAUACGUCCUACGGGAGAAAGCAGGGGAUCACUUGUGACCUUGCGCUAAUAGAUGAGCCUAAGUCGGAUUGGCUAGUUGGUGGGGUAAAGGCCUACCAAGGCGACGAUCUGUAGCGGGUCUGAGAGGAUGAUCCGCCACACUGGGACUGAGACACGGCCCAGACUCCUACGGGAGGCAGCAGUGGGGAAUAUUGGACAAUGGGGGGAACCCUGAUCCAGCCAUGCCGCGUGUGUGAAGAAGGCCUUAUGGUUGUAAAGCACUUUAAGCGAGGAGGAGGCUCUUUUGGUUAAUACCCAAGAUGAGUGGACGUUACUCGCAGAAUGAGCACCGGCUAACUCUGUGCCAGCCGCCGCCGUAA
This 503-nucleotide ribosomal RNA is filed under the name uncultured bacterium. Its description in RNAcentral is "partial 16S ribosomal RNA". It matches the Rfam family "Bacterial small subunit ribosomal RNA", at positions 30 to 523 of the family's 1533-position model. The record is from RNAcentral.